RNAcentral lists this long non-coding RNA (574 nucleotides) under Phasianus colchicus (ring-necked pheasant). RNAcentral describes it as "lncRNA (ENSPCLG00000019625.1)". Lineage: Eukaryota; Metazoa; Chordata; Aves; Galliformes; Phasianidae. The record is from RNAcentral.
UUAAAUGACUGAUUUCAUUUCCAAAAGAUUCCUUUUAAAAACCUUACAUAUUCUCAAUUUUAUUGUUUGUAAAUUAUUUUGAAAAAAAAAAAAAAAAAAAAGAGGAAAAUAUUGCAUAGAUUCAAAUAUUCUGGAAACAAAAAAUAAGCCUGUUUGGAGACUAUUUCCUUAGUAUAUUAAACUUGCUUAGACACUUCAAAGAACUACAAGUUGUAUAUCAAGUACUGCCUGAAGAUAAAUUAAGAUUAUUCUUUUUCCACUCUAUCUCUGGCCAGAGCAAUCCCCUCAGAUCUGGAAGCCAUUUAUGAAGAUUUCUGGAGUCAGUGUCUGCUCCCGAGGUUAAAAAAAAAAACUGAAAUGGUUGACUUUUUGUGCCAAUUGUGAACAAACCCGGGUUUUGAAAUCAUUAAAUGCAGCAUUCCUACCCUUGACAUCAGGACACAAAUAAGGAACAGUCCUCAUGUCUUCCUGGGUCAGGGAUGUUUCUUAAAACAGUCCCCAUGCAGAGCAUACAGGACCACUCUUCACCCUCGGUCACAUAAAACACGGACUUUCAUACCCAUACCCCCUGGAA